UACGGAGGGUCCGAGCGUUAUCCGGAAUCAUUGGGUUUAAAGGGUCCGCAGGCGGUCAAUUAAGUCAGAGGUGAAAUCCCAUAGCUUAACUAUGGAACUGCCUUUGAUACUGGCAAACUUGAGUUAUUGUGAAGUAGUUAGAAUGUGUAGUGUAGCGGUGAAAUGCAUAGAUAUUACACAGAAUACCGAUUGCGAAGGCAGUCUACUACGUAUAUACUGACGCUAAUGGACGAAAGCGUGGGGAGCGAACAGG
RNAcentral lists this ribosomal RNA (253 nucleotides) under uncultured bacterium. RNAcentral's name for it is "partial 16S ribosomal RNA". It matches the Rfam family "Bacterial small subunit ribosomal RNA", at positions 524 to 776 of the family's 1533-position model. The record is from RNAcentral.